This 503-nucleotide ribosomal RNA is filed under the name uncultured bacterium. Its description in RNAcentral is "partial 16S ribosomal RNA". It matches the Rfam family "Bacterial small subunit ribosomal RNA", at positions 30 to 523 of the family's 1533-position model. The record is from RNAcentral.
AUUGAACGCUGGCGGCAGGCUUAACACAUGCAAGUCGAGCGGGGUGAUGGUGCUUGCACUAUCACUUAGCGGCGGACGGGUGAGUAAUGCUUAGGAAUCUGCCUAUUAGUGGGGGACGACAUCUCGAAAGGGAUGCUAAUACCGCAUACGUCCUACGGGAGAAAGCAGGGGAUCACUUGUGACCUUGCGCUAAUAGAUGAGCCUAAGUCGGAUUAGCUAGUUGGUGGGGUAACGGCCUACCAAGGCGACGAUCUGCAGCGGGUCUGAGAGGAUGAUCCGCCACACUGGGACUGAGACACGGCCCAGACUCCUACGGGAGGCAGCAGUGGGGAAUAUUGGACAAUGGGGGGAACCCCGAUCCAGCCAUGCCGCGUGUGUGAAGAAGGCCUUAUGGUUGUAAAGCACUUUAAGCGAGGAGGAGGCUCUUUUGGUUAAUACCUAAGAUGAGUGGACGUUACUCGCAGAAUAAGCACCGGCUAACUCUGUGCCAGCAGCCGCGGUAA